GAGUUUGAUCCUGGCUCAGGAUGAACGCUGGCGGCGUGCUUAACACAUGCAAGUCGAACGAACCUUCGGGUUAGUGGCGGACGGGUGAGUAACGCGUGAGAAUCUGCCCUCAGGAGGGGGAUAACGGCUGGAAACGGCCGCUAAUACCCCAUAUGCCGAGAGGUGAAAUGAAUUUCGCCUGAGGAUGAGCUCGCGUCUGAUUAGCUAGUUGGUAAGGUAAGAGCUUACCAAGGCAUCGAUCAGUAGCUGGUCUGAGAGGAUGAUCAGCCACACUGGGACUGAGACACGGCCCAGACUCCUACGGGAGGCAGCAGUGGGGAAUUUUCCGCAAUGGGCGAAAGCCUGACGGGGCAACGCCGCGUGAGGGAUGAAGGCCUCUGGGCUGUAAACCUCUUUUCUCAAGGAAGAAGACAUGACGGUACUUGAGGAAUAAGCCACGGCUAAUUCCGUGCCAGCAGCCGCGGUAAUACGGGAGUGGCAAGCGUUAUCCGGAAUUAUUGGGCGUAAAGCGUCCGCAGGCGGCCUUUUAAGUCUGUUGUUAAAGCGUGGAGCUCAACUCCAUUUCGGCAAUGGAAACUGGGAGGCUGGAGUGUGGUAGGGGCAGAGGGAAUUCCCGGUGUAGCGGUGAAAUGCGUAGAUAUCGGGAAGAACACCAGUGGCGAAGGCGCUCUGCUGGGCCAUAACUGACGCUCAUGGACGAAAGCCAGGGGAGCGAAAGGGAUUAGAUACCCCUGUAGUCCUGGCCGUAAACGAUGAACACUAGGUGUCGGGGGAAUCGACCCCCUCGGUGUCGUAGCCAACGCGUUAAGUGUUCCGCCUGGGGAGUACGCACGCAAGUGUGAAACUCAAAGGAGUUGACGGGGGCCCGCACAAGCGGUGGAGUAUGUGGUUUAAUUCGAUGCAACGCGAAGAACCUUACCAGGGUUUGACAUCCUGCGAAUCCCUUGGAAACUAGGGAGUGCCUUCGGGAGCGCAGAGACAGGUGGUGCAUGGCUCGUCAGCUCGUGUCGUGAGAUGUUGGGUUAAGUCCCGCAACGAGCGCAACCCACGUCUUUAGUUGCCAGCAUUUAGUUGGGCACUCUAGAGAGACCGCCGGUGAUAAACCGGAGGAAGGUGUGGAUGACGUCAAGUCAUCAUGCCCCUUACAUCCUGGGCUACACACGUACUACAAUGCUACGGACAAAGGGCAGCAAACUCGCGAGAGCUAGCAAAUCCCAUAAACCGUGGCUCAGUUCAGAUCGUAGGCUGCAACUCGCCUACGUGAAGGAGGAAUCGCUAGUAAUCGCAGGUCAGCAUACUGCGGUGAAUACGUUCCCGGGCCUUGUAC
This 1327-nucleotide ribosomal RNA is filed under the name metagenome. Its description in RNAcentral is "bacterial SSU rRNA". It matches the Rfam family "Bacterial small subunit ribosomal RNA", at positions 9 to 1386 of the family's 1533-position model. The record is from RNAcentral.